This 1076-nucleotide long non-coding RNA is filed under the name Anolis carolinensis (green anole). RNAcentral describes it as "lncRNA (ENSACAG00000035928.1)". Lineage: Eukaryota; Metazoa; Chordata; Lepidosauria; Squamata; Anolidae. The record is from RNAcentral.
CUUAAAUUUGAGCUUGAUGUAAAUACAGUAGAGUCUCACUUAUCCAACAUAAACGAGCCGGCAGAAUGUUGGAUAAGUGGAUAUGUUGGAUAAUAAGGAGGCAUUAAGGAAAAGCCUAUUAAACAUCAAAUUAGGUUAUCAUUUUACAAAUUAAGCACCAAAACAUCAUGUUAGACAACAAAUUUGGCAGAAAAAGUAGUUCAAUACCCAGUAAUGCUAUGUAGUAAUCUAUAUAUAUAAAAGAGUGAUGGCAUCACGGCAACCCACAAAACAACAAAACUACAGUCCCUCCAACCUUGAAAUUUGACAACACAAUCCAUCAUCCACGCCUCUAGGUUGAUACAACAAAAAGAAAAGAAAAAUAAAGUCCUAAUUAGAAAGAGAGGAAUAAUUGCUUUUAUCCACUUGCUGCCAGUUAGAAGGCUAAGCUCCUCCAAUUUGGUCUCCUAGCAACCCAAUAAAAAAUAAUAAAAAAACACUAAAAAAUUGAUACAAUAAAAUACUAUAAUAACAGAAAAUAACUAACAAUACAAGAAAAUAAUAAAAUAUAAUAAAUAAAAAUAUAACUUACAAUAAAAUUAAUAAAAAAAACUAACGUAAAAUAAAAAUUACACAACAAUUUUUAACCAAUACCACCACCACUUUGCCACAGCAAUGCGUGGCUGGGCACAGCUAGUUACUGUAUAUAUGAAUUUAGCACCAAAAUAUCACGAUAUAUUGAAAACAUUGACUAUAAAAAUGUGUUGGAUAAUCCAGAACGUUGGAUAAGCGAGUGUUGGAUAAGUGAGACUCUACUGUAUUCAAAAACAUUUAACCUACUGAUGCCUCGAUUAAUGUAAUUGUAUUGGUAUCUAUUUUUAUUUCUGAAAUUUACCACCCUCGGCUUAUACUGGAGUCAACGUUUUCCCAGUUUUUUGUGAUAAAAUUAGGUGCCUCGGCUUAUAUUUGGGUCGGCUUAUACUCGAGUAUAUACGGUAAUGUAAUUUUAUUGGUAUCUCGGCUUAUACUGGAGUCAGUAUUCGGGUCGGCUUAUACUCGAGUAUAUACGGUAAUGUAAUUUUAUUGGUAUCUCGGCU